CAGCAACAAACCAGGACUUUUUCUAGAAGUGGGAUGUGGGGGGAGAUCCCCAGGUGAAUUAGGAGAAGGAAGUAAACAUGAUGUUACAGUGAGGUCAGCCGCAAACCCCAGCACCCUUUGCUUCCUGGGAAGCUGUGUGUCCAGAUCCGCCCCAGAGAGGGGUAAGGCAGAAUCUGGGUCAGGUUUUAACAUUCGAAGCGCUUUCUGCAGAGUGUGGAGGUUUGAACGCCUCUCAGUGGAACUACCGGGGGCCUCUUAUCUCAAACAAUGAAGAAGUGUUUGCUUCUGAGCCUCUUCCUAGCGACUCGGUGUCCAGGUGCUGUGUCGGGCAAUUCCAUCCAAUCCAUUGAACCCGACGUGUCUGUCAUAGAAGGAGACCCUGUGGCACUCAGCUGCUCCUACAGCACCAGCUAUAGCGGUGUCUCUCUCCACUGGUACCGCCAGAGCCCCCGCCAAGCCCCUCAGUACAUUCUCCAGAGAGGCGCGAAGGGAAGCACCAUCAGUGACCACGCAGAUUUUGCCCGGAGGAGGUUCACUUCUGACACGAACGCCACUUCUACAGUUCUGACCAUCGCAGACCUGGAGCUGGCGGACGAAGCUGUGUAUUAUUGUGCGUUGAAUGAGACACAGUGAGAGAGCCCCCGGAGACAGCUGCACAAAAACCCUCCCACAUCCCUCACUUGCAUUCUUCCCCAUCUGUCUUGGCUGUUGAGUUUGAAAAACCUUUGAAGCAGGAGCUGUCCCUCACUAGGUGUCUGUGCAGCCCCCUGCCUGACAGGGCCAGCCCAGAUCUCAGUUUUAUUGUCUAGGUGCCAUCACCAUGACCGUCAAUUUCCAACUGUGUGCUAGGAAAUACUUGGUCUCAGCGUUUUAAUCUGAUUUCGGGUUUUGAACAGCAGAUUCCCAUUAAAAAUGAACAGGGACGGAUAUAAUAGAUUGACAGAUUUUAAAAACCAGAAGGCACCGAUCUGAUCGAAUCUGACUCCUGCAUAGCACAGGUCAGAGAAUGUCAUCUCACAAGUCCUGCUUUCAGGAAAACAUUUUCAAAAAUUCCUUUUGACAAUGGAGCACUAUAGAAUUGCAAGCGCUCCCGUGACAGCGCUUUGAUGUGUGAGUGUGGUGGCGCUCAAACUUGCUGCUCUGGGUGUGUGUGUGUGGGGGGGGGGUGAUUUUUCAGGGGUUAGAGCAAGUUAAAGCGCUAUAGAAUGAUAAGUGUAGGCAAAUAUACCUUUUACUGGGCACCUCACGGCCCCAUAAAAUGUAUUUAUUUUCACAUCGUUUCCGUGAUAUAAGGCAGCACCAUGAUCUUCAUUUUGGGGAUGAGGUCCUGAAGCACAGAGAACUAACAAGUCACCCACCCAAGGUCACACAGAUAGUCUUUGGUAGAGCAGGGACGAGAAUCGUGCAAAGUUACAGCGCUGCUCAGAGAGCGCAGAAAGAAAACUGCAGUGGUGUGUUCACACCGACAGCUGCCUGCACGACAGCGUGUUCACACUGGCAGCAUUCACUGCGCUUUUCAGAGCGGUGCACUCUGGGCAGCUGUCCCACAGAGCACCUCUUUCUCUUUUGCUGCUAAGACUUGUGGGAAGGCGGAGGGGACCAAGGGACAUGCUGGGUCCUGUCCCAAUGCC
Molecule: non-coding RNA, 1631 nt
Organism: Chelonia mydas (Green sea turtle)
Lineage: Eukaryota; Metazoa; Chordata; Testudines; Cheloniidae
Source: the annotation of a RefSeq genome assembly